Long non-coding RNA from Oncorhynchus keta (chum salmon), 1658 nucleotides. RefSeq lists it as uncharacterized. The transcript is spliced from 5 exons. NCBI's taxonomy places the organism in Eukaryota, Metazoa, Chordata, Actinopteri, Salmoniformes, Salmonidae. The record is from RefSeq and is a predicted model, not a curated record.
GGGGUCGAUGACAGAGGUGUGGUAUUGGUUAAGGGUGUGGUAUUGGUUAAGGGGUGGAUGGUAGAGGUGUGGUAUUGGUUAAGGGUGUGGUAUUGGUUAAGGGGUGGAUGGUAGAGGUGUGGUAUUGGUUAAGGGUCGAUGCCAGAGGUGUGGUAUUGGUUAAGGGUGGAUGACAGAGGUGUGGUAUUGGUUAAGGGUGGAUGACAGAGGUGUGGUAUUGGUUAAGGGUGGAUGGUAGAGGUGUGGUAUUGGUUAAGGGUGGAUGGUAGAGGUGUGGUAUUGGUUAAGGGUGGAUGACAGAGGUGUGGUAUUGGUUAAGGGUGGAUGACAGAGGUGUGGUAUUGGUUAAGGGUGGAUGACAGAGGUGUGGUAUUGGUUAAGGGUGGAUGACAGAGGUGUGGUAUUGGUUAAGGGUGGAUGACAGAGGUGUGGUAUUGGUUAAGGGUCGAUGACAGAGGUGUGGUAUUGGUUAAGGGUGGAUGACAGAGGUGUGGUAUUGGUUAAGGGUGGAUGACAGAGGUGUGGUAUUGGUUAAGGGUGGAUGGUAGAGGUGUGGUAUUGGUUAAGGGUCGAUGACAGAGGUGUGGUAUUGGUUAAGGGUGGAUGACAGAGGUGUGGUAUUGGUUAAGGGUGGAUGACAGAGGUGUGGUAUUGGUUAAGGGUGGAUGGUAGAGGUGUGGUAUUGGUUAAGGGUGGAUGGUAGAGGUGUGGUAUUGGUUAAGGGUGGAUGACAGAGGUGUGGUAUUGGUUAAGGGUGGAUGACAGAGGUGUGGUAUUGGUUAAGGGUGGAUGACAGAGGUGUGGUAUUGGUUAAGGGUGGAUGACAGAGGUGUGGUAUUGGUUAAGGGUGGAUGACAGAGGUGUGGUAUUGGUUAAGGGUGGAUGACAGAGGUGUGGUAUUGGUUAAGGGUGGAUGGUAGAGGUGUGGUAUUGGUUAAGGGUGGAUGGUAGAGGUGUGGUAUUGGUUAAGGGUGGAUGACAGAGGUGUGGUAUUGGUUAAGGGUCGAUGACAGAGGUGUGGUAUUGGUUAAGGGUGGAUGACAGAGGUGUGGUAUUGGUUAAGGGUCGAUGACAGAGGUGUGGUAUUGGUUAAGGGUGGAUGACAGAGGUGUGGUAUUGGUUAAGGGUGGAUGGUAGAGGUGUGGUAUUGGUUAAGGGUGGAUGACAGAGGUGUGGUAUUGGUUAAGGGUGGAUUGUAGAGGUGUGGUAUUGGUUAAGGGUCGAUGGUAGAGGUGUGGUAUUGGUUAAGGGUCGAUGGUAGAGGUGUGGUAUUGAAUAAGGGUGUGGUAUUGGUUAAGGCUGUGGUAUUGGUUCAGGGUGUGGUAUUGGUUAAGGGUGUGGUAUUGGUUCAGGGUGUGGUAUUGGUUCAGGGUGUGGUAUUGGAUAAGGGUGUGGUAUUGGUUAAGGGUGUGGUAUUGGUUAAGGGUGUGGUAUUGGUUCAGGGUGUGGUAUUGGUUAAGGGUGUGGUAUUGGUUAAGGGUGUGGUAUUGAAUAAGGGUGUGGUAUUGAAUAGGGGUGUGGUAUUGGUUAAGGGUGUGGUAUUGGUUCAGGGUGUGGUAUUGGUUCAGGGUGUGGUAUUGGUUCAGGGUGUGGUAUUGGUUAAGGGUGUGGUAUUGGUUCAGGGUGUGGUAUUGAAUAAGGGUGUGGUAUUGGUUCAG